RNAcentral lists this transfer RNA (76 nucleotides) under Bacilli bacterium. Its description in RNAcentral is "tRNA-Val". It matches the Rfam family "tRNA". Rfam says of the family: Transfer RNA (tRNA) molecules are approximately 80 nucleotides in length. Their secondary structure includes four short double-helical elements and three loops (D, anti-codon, and T loops). Further hydrogen bonds mediate the characteristic L-shaped molecular structure. tRNAs have two regions of fundamental functional importance: the anti-codon, which is responsible for specific mRNA codon recognition, and the 3' end, to which the tRNAs corresponding amino acid is attached (by aminoacyl-tRNA synthetases). tRNAs cope with the degeneracy of the genetic code in two manners: having more than one tRNA (with a specific anti-codon) for a particular amino acid; and 'wobble' base-pairing, i.e. permitting non-standard base-pairing at the 3rd anti-codon position. Lineage: Bacteria; Bacillati; Bacillota; Bacilli. The record is from RNAcentral.
GGGGAAUUAGCUCAGCUGGGAGAGCAUCUGCCUUACAAGCAGAGGGUCGGCGGUUCGAGCCCGUCAUUCCCCACCA